Molecule: small RNA, 911 nt
Filed under: Pan troglodytes (chimpanzee)
Lineage: Eukaryota; Metazoa; Chordata; Mammalia; Primates; Hominidae
Description: processed transcript
Source: RNAcentral
GGGUGGUUGAGUAGAACCGGUCGCCAUGUCCGCGGGGAGCGCGACGCAUCCUGGAGCUGGCGGGCGCCGCAGCAAAUGGGACCAACCAGCUCCAGCCCCACUUCUCUUCCUCCCGCCAGCGGCCCCAGGUGGGGAGGUCACCAGCAGUGGGGGAAGUCCUGGGGGCACCACAGCUGCUCCUUCAGGAGCCUUGGAUGCUGCUGCUGCUGUGGCUGCCAAGAUCAAUGCCAUGCUCAUGGCAAAAGGGAAGCUGAAACCAACUCAGAAUGCUUCUGAGAAGCUUCAGGCUCCUGGCAAAGGCCUAACUAGCAAUAAGAGCAAGGAUGACCUGGUGGUAGCUGAAGUAGAAAUUAAUGAUGUGCCUCUCACAUGUAGGAACUUGCUGACUCGAGGACAGACUCAAGACGAGAUCAGCCGACUUAGUGGGGCUGCAGUAUCAACUCGAGGGAGGUUCAUGACAACUGAGGAAAAAGCCAAAGUGGGACCAGGGGAUCGUCCAUUAUAUCUUCAUGUUCAGGGCCAGACACGGGAAUUAGUGGACAGAGCUGUAAACCGGAUCAAAGAAAUUAUCACCAAUGGAGUGGUAAAAGCUGCCACAGGAACAAGUCCAACUUUUAAUGGUGCAACAGUAACUGUCUAUCACCAGCCAGCACCCAUCGCUCAGUUGUCUCCAGCUGUUAGCCAGAAGCCUCCCUUCCAGUCAGGGGUAUGUUUUGGGGAGGGAUCAUUAAUAGCAUUAUCAUUUCUAUAAAAAUGAUAUGUGCUGGCCAGGCACAGUGGCUCAUUCCUGUAAUCCCAGCACUUUGGGAGGCCAAGGUGGGUGGAUCAUUUGAGGUCAGGAAUUUGGACCAGCCUGACCAACGUGGUGAAACCCCGUCACGAACAUUACCCGGACCUGGUGGCAGGCACCU